This 64-nucleotide transfer RNA is filed under the name Postharmostomum commutatum. RNAcentral describes it as "tRNA-Asn". It matches the Rfam family "tRNA". From Rfam's summary of the family: Transfer RNA (tRNA) molecules are approximately 80 nucleotides in length. Their secondary structure includes four short double-helical elements and three loops (D, anti-codon, and T loops). Further hydrogen bonds mediate the characteristic L-shaped molecular structure. tRNAs have two regions of fundamental functional importance: the anti-codon, which is responsible for specific mRNA codon recognition, and the 3' end, to which the tRNAs corresponding amino acid is attached (by aminoacyl-tRNA synthetases). tRNAs cope with the degeneracy of the genetic code in two manners: having more than one tRNA (with a specific anti-codon) for a particular amino acid; and 'wobble' base-pairing, i.e. permitting non-standard base-pairing at the 3rd anti-codon position. Lineage: Eukaryota; Metazoa; Platyhelminthes; Trematoda; Diplostomida; Brachylaimidae. The record is from RNAcentral.
GUUUAUAUAGAUUAAGUUAAAUCGUAAGGCUGUUAACUUUGAGAUGGAUGUUGUCCUGUAAACG